GCUGGGAUAGCUCAGUUAAUACAGCAUGAGACUCUUAAUCUCAGGGUUCAAGAUCAUGGGUUCAAGCCCCACUUUGGGCA
Podarcis lilfordi (Lilford's wall lizard) is the source of this 80-nucleotide non-coding RNA. Lineage: Eukaryota; Metazoa; Chordata; Lepidosauria; Squamata; Lacertidae. The record is from the annotation of a GenBank genome assembly.